AUGUGGCUGCUCUUAGGUUUGGGAUUUUUUUAUUCCUCUGUUUUCCUGUCAGCAAGAUACAGGAAAACAGAAGUAACUCAGAGCCAGGUGGAAAAGCAGCUGAAAAUAAACAAUAACAAAGGUAUUGGGAAUGAAUGCUUUCUCAUGUCACACGCAGGAGCUGCCUGUUUGAUGUGUGUGUGCAAGGAGAUGAUGACACUACCUUAUGUCGCAGUCUGGAGGAAUAUGUGCUGGCUUGUCAGCAGCAAGGAGUCCGUAUGGAAGGCUGGAGGCAACACACAGUUUGUGCUAUAUCAUGUCCUGCCAACAGCAACUACAGCUCGUGCACGUCUGCAUGCCCAGCAUCCUGCUACGACUUCACCAGCCCCUUGGAAUGUGAAUCACCUUGUGUUGAAGGCUGUGAAUGUCUCCCUGGCUUUGUUCUUAGCGGUUCUGACUGCGUGCCUUACAAACAAUGUGGCUGCACGUACCUUAACAAGUAUUAUGAGGUACAGUCUCCCUGUGGGUCAGACAGCUCCCGCAGCACCAAACAAUAUUUUCUUCUGCUAAUUAUUUUUACAAUCUCCUCAUUCUCCUCGGCACAUAAUUUUGCUUUAGAAACAAAGAACAAUUGUUUAAUACAAUUCUGGUCUGUGCAGGAAAGAGAAGAGAGAGUAGAUCACUUGGUCUGCCUCUGAAAGUCUGCCUGCCAGAAUACUCAAGGCAGGCACUUGGAGAAAGUAUAUGAUUACGCUCUGACCUCCAUGUUAAUUCUUCACCUUUAUUAUGAUAAAUAAUAGCCUCAUAUGCUCUAAAGCUUAUAACACACCAGUUACGGGGAAAUUCUGACAGUCACUGUGGUCCCUCUCCUCUCAGUGAAGAGUGGUGUAGGCAGAGUGAGAACUGGCUAUAACAUGAAUAGAACCUCAGGCAAGGCUGGACUCUGAGGAACAUGGAGAAUCCUCCAUUGGCAUUGCAGGAUACAAGAGCUUCAUAAUCUCAUAGAUUUCUGUUGUAACACUGGAGAUUUUCUACAGAAAAGGCCUAAGCUGGUAAAGAUUGUUUUAUGGGAGGAGGCAAACACUUGCUAUAAACAGCUGGCACUUGCCAGAAAAAAGACACAUGGCCUUUCCACAUUGCCUUGAAGGCAUCAUGUGUUGCACCAGCCACUCUCUCUUAUCUCCAGCAACAGCUAAGGGCUUGUUGGUUGCACAUGUAGUCCACCUGAGGCUAGGAUCUCAUAUCCCAUACACUUCUUUUACCUUCUUUCUUGGGCCAUCCUUGAGUUUCAAGGAUCUGGAUUAGUAAACUGCUUGCUUUCUUUUUUGUACAAACUACCAAAAAAAAAAAAAAUAAUCUGCCCUGUUGCCAUUUACAGGAGAGCAUCAGAGAGAAUAGCAUGGGGCCCCAGGGCUCUGCUCAAAGAUUUUCUGGCUGAUUUUAGUUGAUAUUUUUUAACAUUUAACUGCUGUCUUCCAGAUUGGAGAAACAUUCACCACUGAUGACUGCUCUCAGAAAUGCCAGUGCACAGAAAGCUCCACUGUCUUCUGCUCUGACAUAGUGUGUGGGUCCGAUGAAAUCUGUGGCAUUUCAAACUACAGUCGUGGAUGCUACAGGAGUGAGUCAACUGCUAUCACAUUGUCUUUGAUGCUAAGAAGUCUUGACUUACUGCUUUAGGACAUCACUGGGUUGGGGAUAAUUGCAGCAGAGUGUGUACAGAAGAAAAGCAUACCAGGGAUCUUACUCUGAUAUUUAAUCGUAGAACCAGUGUUUCCCUUAUUCCUCUUGCCAAGUACAAGUAACACACCUUAAAAUACGGGGAAUAUUCAGCAUUAGGAGUCAGUAUAAUCUAAGCAAGAACAAUUCUCUCAGGAUUGGAUUAUCAGAAAGCCUGAAGUGUUUCUUCUUUUUUUGCUAGGUGGACCAUGUAUGCCAAAUCCUUGUAAGAAUGAUGGAGUUUGCUCUGAAACUACCAACAGCAACUCUCCCCACUCCUGUCAGUGUUCAGAAUUGUACACAGGACCAUUCUGCACAGAUGAAAGGCUAGGUAAGAAAACUAUUUUGGAUUUCACUGUCUGCAUUACACACCACUUUCAAAAAUAGGUGUCAUUAUGGAGAAGAUUGAGCUUGCUCUUCAUUUCCAUGCUGUAAAUUAGUAGUAACUCAGUGGGUAAGAGCCUGUAUAGAUCCAAGCCAAAAGAAGAGGUCAGAUCCCUCAGUGGAGAGGUUCUAGAAAGCAGGACAGCAGGGCUCUGUAGAGCAUACAGGACCUGGGUCUGAUACCACUCCAGAAAGUCACAUUGAUAAGAGAACACAGUAUAAAUUAAGCAGAGGGGCAAUGGUUGAGAAAAAAAAACGUCUUCACAGUAUGGUUACCUUUCACUGACUGGGCUCUUUCGUCUUCUUUUGAAGAAGUGGGGCGUGAGGACUCUCCAGUUGCCAUCAUUGUUGGAGUUGUGGCAGGCGUAGCUAUUAUGGUCGUUCUCGUCUCCUCUGCAGUGUACAUCUACAGGUAAGGCUUUUCCCAGUUUUGCUACGUUCAGCAGAGUCAAGACACAUACACCCCUUCUAGCACCUGUAAACCUCAAAACUCCCGUUGCUCACACACCUACAGGGCCAGAAGGGAACCACAGCAUUCAGGAUCUUGCUUGAAGAAUGUGAGGGAAAACUUAGUUUUUUCUCAGAAGUGAACUCAUGCCAUUUCCUGUACACAGGGCAUACGCGUCUCUACCACAAAACUUGGGCUUCUCCAAAAUCUGACUUCAUUCAUGCUUGCGCCAUUGUUUGACCUCUCACUGCAGAUAACACCACAAAUUUUAAAUGGUUGUUCUUUCUUUUUCCCCGUUGUACAGAAGGAACAGGAAAAUGGGUACAGCUGAGGUAUCAAGGGAAUCUUCUUUGAGAUGGUCGCGGGAUGACAGAGCACAUGAGCAAGAUUAUGGCUGCAUCGUGAACACUGCAUUUGAUCAAAAUGAAUCCUCAAGAACACACCUAUAGUUAGCAUUAUUUUCCAAUUGUUUGUAUUACUUUCUGCUCUUUUAUUUUAAUAGUAUUUCCAGUAUGUUGAGAAGAAAUAAUUAAUAAAUCAUUGCAUUUGCUGAAAACCUUUUAAAUU
RNAcentral lists this long non-coding RNA (3094 nucleotides) under Calidris pugnax (ruff). RNAcentral's name for it is "lncRNA (ENSCPUG00000017174.1)". Lineage: Eukaryota; Metazoa; Chordata; Aves; Charadriiformes; Scolopacidae. The record is from RNAcentral.